ACUACAUGAAGCUGGAAUCGCUAGUAAUCGCGGAUCAGAAUGCCGCGGUGAAUACGUUCCCGGGUCUUGUACACACCGCCCGUCACACCAUGGGAGUCGGAAAUGCCCGAAGUCUGUGACCCAACCUUAGGGAGGGAGCAGCCGAAGGCAGGUCGGAUGACUGGGGUGAAGUCGUAACAAGGUAUC
Molecule: ribosomal RNA, 186 nt
Filed under: uncultured bacterium
Lineage: Bacteria
Description: partial 16S ribosomal RNA
Rfam family: Bacterial small subunit ribosomal RNA
Source: RNAcentral